Molecule: ribosomal RNA, 1036 nt
Filed under: Giardia duodenalis ATCC 50581
Lineage: Eukaryota; Fornicata; Diplomonadida; Hexamitidae
Description: eukaryotic LSU rRNA
Rfam family: Eukaryotic large subunit ribosomal RNA
Source: RNAcentral
ACCACCGCAGCAGGUCUCCGGGGUCAGCAGCCUCUAGCGCGGGAGCGAACGCGGCUCAGGGAAGUCGGCAAGCCGGCUCCGUAACCUCGGGAAAAGGAGUGGCUCUGACGGCGCGCCGGGUCAGAACUGGAACGGACGCGGGGAUCCCGACUGUUUACUAGAAACAUAGCGUCGCGAGGGCCGCACCCGGCGCUGGCGCGACGUGAUUUCUGCCCAGUGCCACGACAGUCACCGUGAAGAGAUCCGCCCAAGCCCUGGUAAACGGCGGGAGUAACUAUGACUCUCUUAAGGUAGCCAAAUGCCUCGUCGGGCAAUUUCCGACGUGCAUGAAUGGACCAACGAGGAUCCCACUGUCCCGAGCCGCGCCUCCGCGAACCUCCAGACUCGGGAACGGGCGAGUGCCGGCCAGCGGGGCAAGAAGACCCUUUUGAGCUUGACUCCAGCCCGGGCCUGUGGGGCGGGGCGGCCGGCGCAGCGCACAGGGGAGGCCGCGCCCCUGAGACACCCUGACGGCCGCCGCCGCCCCGCUCACCCGGUCGCGCGGGGACCCGCCCGGGCGGGGAGUUUGGCUGGGGCGGCGCGCCUGCUACACCGGACCGCAGGCGUCCCACGGCGGGCUCAGCGAGGACGGAAACCUCCCGCGGAGCAGAAGGGCACAAGCCCGCCCGACCCGCGCCCCCCGUGCCGGCGCGGGCCGCGAAAGCGGGGCCUACCGAUCCUUCGCCGCCCGGGCCGCGGGCGCGGAGGUGACAGAAAAGUUACCACAGGGAUAACUGGCUUGUGGCCGCCGAGCGCCCGCAGCGACGCGGCUUUUUGAUCCUUCGAUGUCGGCUCUUCCUACCGUCCGCGCGCACCGGCGCGGAAGCGUCGGAUUGUUCACCCGUUCAAGGGAUCGUGAGCUGGGUUUAGACCGUCGUGAGACAGGUUAGUUUUACCCUACUGGCCCCGGGGCCAGAGCACGGCGGGCCAGUACGAGAGGAACGCCCGCCGCGGGCCGCCAGCCCCGCGGUUGCCCGGCCGGGCAGCGCCGCGCCGC